GAUGAACGCUGGCGGCGUGCCUAAUACAUGCAAGUCGAACGCACAGCGAAAGGUGCUUGCACCUUUCAAGUGAGUGGCGAACGGGUGAGUAACACGUGGACAACCUGCCUCAAGGCUGGGGAUAACAUUUGGAAACAGAUGCUAAUACCGAAUAAAACUCAGUGUCGCAUGACACAAAGUUAAAAGGCGCUUUGGCGUCACCUAGAGAUGGAUCCGCGGUGCAUUAGUUAGUUGGUGGGGUAAAGGCCUACCAAGACAAUGAUGCAUAGCCGCGUUGAGAGACUGAUCGGCCACAUUGGGACUGGGACACGGCCCAAACUCCUACGGGAGGCUGCAGUAGGGAAUCUUCCACAAUGGGCGAAAGCCUGAUGGAGCAACGCCGCGUGUGUGAUGAAGGCUUUCGGGUCGUAAAGCACUGUUGUAUGGGAAGAACAGCUAGAAUAGGGAAUGAUUUUAGUUUGACGGUACCAUACCAGAAAGGGACGGCUAAAUACGUGCCAGCAGCCGCAGUAA
This 513-nucleotide ribosomal RNA is filed under the name uncultured bacterium. Its description in RNAcentral is "partial 16S ribosomal RNA". It matches the Rfam family "Bacterial small subunit ribosomal RNA", at positions 28 to 523 of the family's 1533-position model. The record is from RNAcentral.